CAGCAGCCACGGUAAUACGAAGGGUGCAAGCGUUAAUCGGAAUUACUGGGCGUAAAGCGCGCGUAGGUGGUUUGGUAAGAUGGAUGUGAAAUCCCCGGGCUCAACCUGGGAACUGCAUCCAUAACUGCCUGACUAGAGUACGGUAGAGGGUGGUGGAAUUUCCUGUGUAGCGGUGAAAUGCGUAGAUAUAGGAAGGAACACCAGUGGCGAAGGCGACCACCUGGACCGAUACUGACACUGAGGUGCGAAAGCGUGGGGAGCAAACAGGAUUAGAUACCCCUGUAGUCCCUGUCUCUUAUAC
RNAcentral lists this ribosomal RNA (301 nucleotides) under uncultured bacterium. RNAcentral describes it as "partial 16S ribosomal RNA". It matches the Rfam family "Bacterial small subunit ribosomal RNA", at positions 509 to 807 of the family's 1533-position model. The record is from RNAcentral.